This 253-nucleotide ribosomal RNA is filed under the name uncultured bacterium. Its description in RNAcentral is "partial 16S ribosomal RNA". It matches the Rfam family "Bacterial small subunit ribosomal RNA", at positions 524 to 776 of the family's 1533-position model. The record is from RNAcentral.
UACGAAGGGGGCUAGCGUUGCUCGGAAUUACUGGGCGUAAAGCGCACGUAGGCGGAUCCUUAAGUCGGUGGUGAAAUCCUGAAGCUCAACUUCAGAACUGCCUUCGAUACUGGGGACCUUGAGUUCGGGAGAGGUGAGUGGAACUGCGAGUGUAGAGGUGAAAUCCGUAGAUAUUCGGAAGAACACCAGUGGCGAAGGCGACUUACUGGACAACUGUUGACGCUGAGGUGCGAAAGCGUGGGGAGCAAACAGG